This 316-nucleotide unclassified non-coding RNA is filed under the name plant metagenome. RNAcentral describes it as "partial contains 5.8S ribosomal RNA, internal transcribed spacer 2, and large subunit ribosomal RNA". The stretch from base 1 to 105 matches the Rfam family "5.8S ribosomal RNA", at positions 50 to 154 of the family's 154-position model. The record is from RNAcentral.
GAAAUGCGAUAACUAGUGUGAAUUGCAGAAUUCCGUGAAUCAUCGAGUCUUUGAACGCACAUUGCACCCCCUGGUAUUCCGGGGGGCAUGCCUGUCCGAGCGUCAUUGCUGCCCAUCAAGCACGGCUUGUGUGUUGGGUCGUCGUCCCCUCUCCGGGGGGGACGGGCCCCAAAGGCAGCGGCGGCACCGCGUCCGAUCCUCGAGCGUAUGGGGCUUUGUCACCCGCUCUGUAGGCCCGGCCGGCGCUUGCCGAACGCAAAUCAAUCUUUUUCCAGGUUGACCUCGGAUCAGGUAGGGAUACCCGCUGAACUUAAGC